UAGCAAUACCCGCCGGCGACCGGCGAAAGGGUGCGUAACGCGUGAGCAACCUGCCCGUAUCCGGGACAUAAGCGGUGGAAAGCCGUCAAUUUCCCAUACAACGAGGCCGCAUGACCCAUGUUUGAAAGAUCCGUCGGAUACGGAUGGGCUCGCGAGACAUUAGCUAGUCGGCGUGGUAACGGCACACCGAGGCGACGAUGUCUAGGGGUUCUGAGAGGAAGGUCCCCCACACUGGAACUGAGACACGGUCCAGACUCCUACGGGAGGCAGCAGUGAGGAAUAUUGGUCAAUGGGCGCAAGCCUGAACCAGCCAUGCCGCGUGGAAAAGGAUUAAGGCCCUAUGGGUACGUAAACUUCUUUUGUGGCGGAGCAAUAAGGUCUACGUGUAGGCCGAUGAGAGUACGUCACGAAUAAGCAUCGGCUAACUCCGUGCCAGCAGCCGC
This 443-nucleotide ribosomal RNA is filed under the name uncultured bacterium. RNAcentral describes it as "bacterial SSU rRNA". It matches the Rfam family "Bacterial small subunit ribosomal RNA", at positions 77 to 518 of the family's 1533-position model. The record is from RNAcentral.